This 717-nucleotide long non-coding RNA is filed under the name Parus major (Great Tit). RNAcentral describes it as "lncRNA (ENSPMJG00000004320.1)". Lineage: Eukaryota; Metazoa; Chordata; Aves; Passeriformes; Paridae. The record is from RNAcentral.
GCAAAUCCCGAGAGCGAGCAGUGCCCAAAGCGAGCAUUCCCCGGUACCGAACCAAAAAACCGAACUCAUCCCGGCCUUUCCCCGGUACCGGAACCGACGCGAUCCGAACCCUCCCGGUGUCCCCUCGCCAUGCGGCCCGCUACCCCCGCCACGCUGCCCGGUACCCCUGGGGCGGCUCCGCGGUAAAACCGGGGUGGUUCCGGUAAAACCGGGUCGGUUCCGGUAAAACCGGGUCGAUUCCCGCUAAAACCGGGGCGGUUCCGGUAAAACCGGGUCGAUUCCCGGUAACACCGGUUGUCUAUUCCCGUUCCCCCGGUUGUUUCCCAUUCCCCGGUUGUCUCUGGUUCCCGGCUGUCUCUGUUCCCCGGUCAUCUCCCGGUUCCCCGGCUGUCCCGGUUCCCGGUCACCUCCCCCUUCCCGGCUGUCUCCAUUCCCCGGUUAUCUCCAUUCCCCGGUUGUCUCCAUUCCCCGGCUGUCCCGUUCCCCGGUCGUCUCCCGGUUCCCGGCUGUCCCGGUUCCCCGGCUGUCUCCAUUCCCCGGCUGUCUCCAUCCCCCCGGCUGUCCCGGUUCCCCGGCUGUCCCGGUUCCCCGGUUGUGUCCCGUUCUCCGGCUGUCCCGUUCCCCGGCUGUCCCGUUCCCCGGUCAUCUCCCAGUUCCCCGGUCAUCUCCCGUUCCCCGGCUGUCUCCGUUCCCCGGCUGUCCCGGUUCCCGGUUCCC